UACGUAGGGGGCAAGCGUUGUCCGGAUUUAUUGGGCGUAAAGAGCGUGUAGGCGGCUUGGUAGGUCCGCUGUGAAAACUCGAGGCUCAACCUCGAGAUGUCGGCGGAAACCACUUGGCUAGAGUCCGGAAGAGGAGAGUGGAAUUCCCGGUGUAGCGGUGAAAUGCGCAGAUAUCGGGGAAGAACACCUAUGGCGGAAGGCAGCUCUCUGGGACGG
This 216-nucleotide ribosomal RNA is filed under the name uncultured bacterium. Its description in RNAcentral is "partial 16S ribosomal RNA". It matches the Rfam family "Bacterial small subunit ribosomal RNA", at positions 524 to 737 of the family's 1533-position model. The record is from RNAcentral.